GAUGAACGCUAGCGGGAGGCUUAACACAUGCAAGUCGAGGGGUAAAUGGCAGCAAUGCUAUGAGACCGGCGAACGGGUGCGUAACGCGUAUGCAACUUACCUUAUGCAGGGGGAUAGCCCGUGGAAACGCGGAUUAAUAUCCCAUAGAUCAGUGGUAUCGCAUGGUACAGCUGGUAAAGCUCAGGUGGCAUAAGAUGGGCAUGCGUCUGAUUAGCUGGUUGGUAGGGUAACGGCCUACCAAGGCGACGAUCAGUAGGGGUUCUGAGAGGAUUAACCCCCAACUGGUACUGAGACACGGACCAGACUCCUACGGGAGGCAGCAGUGAGGAAUAUUGGUCAAUGGGCGAAGCCUGAACCAGCCAUCCCGCGUGAAGGAAGAAGGCCUUAAUGGGUUGUAAACUUCUUUUCUGUUUUGAAGAAUAAGCUUGUCGUGACAAGUGAUGCCGGUAGGACAGGAAUAAGCAUCGGCUAACUCCGUGCCAGCAGCCGG
Molecule: ribosomal RNA, 490 nt
Filed under: uncultured bacterium
Lineage: Bacteria
Description: bacterial SSU rRNA
Rfam family: Bacterial small subunit ribosomal RNA
Source: RNAcentral